GCUAACGUAGCUUAACUAAAGCAUAACACUGAAGAUGUUAAGACAAAUCCUAAAAUGAUUUCGCAAGCA
This 69-nucleotide transfer RNA is filed under the name Zenarchopterus dispar (feathered river-garfish). RNAcentral's name for it is "tRNA-Phe". It matches the Rfam family "tRNA". Rfam says of the family: Transfer RNA (tRNA) molecules are approximately 80 nucleotides in length. Their secondary structure includes four short double-helical elements and three loops (D, anti-codon, and T loops). The record is from RNAcentral. Lineage: Eukaryota; Metazoa; Chordata; Actinopteri; Beloniformes; Zenarchopteridae.